Molecule: ribosomal RNA, 492 nt
Filed under: uncultured bacterium
Lineage: Bacteria
Description: partial 16S ribosomal RNA
Rfam family: Bacterial small subunit ribosomal RNA
Source: RNAcentral
AGUGAACGCUGGCGGUAGGCCUAACACAUGCAAGUCGAGCGGCAGCACAGUAAGAGCUUGCUCUUACGGGUGGCGAGUGGCGGACGGGUGAGGAAUACAUCGGAAUCUACUUUUUCGUGGGGGAUAACGUAGGGAAACUUACGCUAAUACCGCAUACGACCUACGGGUGAAAGCAGGGGAUCUUCGGACCUUGCGCGAUCGAAUGAGCCGAUGUCGGAUUAGCUAGUUGGCGGGGUAAAGGCCCACCAAGGCGACGAUCCGUAGCUGGUCUGAGAGGAUGAUCAGCCACACUGGAACUGAGACACGGUCCAAACUCCUACGGGAGGCAGCAGUGGGGAAUAUUGGACAAUGGGCGCAAGCCUGAUCCAGCCAUACCGCGUGGGUGAAGAAGGCCUUCGGGUUGUAAAGCCCUUUUGUUGGGAAAGAAAAGCAGCAGGUUAAUACCCCGCUGUUCUGACGGUACCCAAAGAAUAAGCACCGGCUAACUUCGUG